This 73-nucleotide transfer RNA is filed under the name Stegodyphus mimosarum. It matches the Rfam family "tRNA". Rfam says of the family: Transfer RNA (tRNA) molecules are approximately 80 nucleotides in length. Their secondary structure includes four short double-helical elements and three loops (D, anti-codon, and T loops). Lineage: Eukaryota; Metazoa; Arthropoda; Arachnida; Araneae; Eresidae. The record is from Rfam by way of RNAcentral.
GUCUACGUGGUGUAGUAGUCAGCGCGCUCGACGCGUAUUCCAGAGGUCUGGGGUUCAAGUCCCGGCGAGGGCA